Molecule: ribosomal RNA, 600 nt
Filed under: uncultured bacterium
Lineage: Bacteria
Description: bacterial SSU rRNA
Rfam family: Bacterial small subunit ribosomal RNA
Source: RNAcentral
CCUACGGGAGGCAGCAGUGGGGAAUAUUGCGCAAUGGGCGAAAGCCUGACGCAGCGACGCCGCGUGAGGGAUGACGGCCUUCGGGUUGUAAACCUCUUUCAGCAGGGAAGAAGCGAAAGUGACGGUACCUGCAGAAGAAGCACCGGCUAACUACGUGCCAGCAGCCGCGGUAAUACGUAGGGUGCGAGCGUUGUCCGGAAUUAUUGGGCGUAAAGAGCUCGUAGGCGGCCUGUCGCGUCGGAUGUGAAAAACCUCGGGGCUUAACCCCGAGCCUGCAUUCGAUACGGGCAGGCUAGAGUUCGGCAGGGGAGACUGGAAUUCCUGGUGUAGCGGUGAAAUGCGCAGAUAUCAGGAGGAACACCGGUGGCGAAGGCGGGUCUCUGGGCCGAAUACUGACGCUGAGGAGCGAAAGCGUGGGGAGCGAACAGGAUUAGAUACCCUGGUAGUCCACGCCGUAAACGUUGGGAACUAGGUGUGGGCGACAUUCCACGUCGUCCGUGCCGCAGCUAACGCAUUAAGUUCCCCGCCUGGGGAGUAGGCCGCAAGGCUAAAAACNCAAANANAAUAGAGCGNGAGAGNGCGACGACGACACGAGGAGAG